CCCUUUCUUCACCCAUUCUCCUCCUCUCUUUUCUUCUCUACUUUCUCCGUCAAUUCUCCUCCUCCCUUUUCUCCUCUCCUUCCUUUCCAUGGACUUCUCCUCCUCAUCCUUUUUUUUCAAGCCGCCCACAAACUAUCUCUUUUACGAUGGCUUCCUCCACCAUUCAUGUUUACCUUCCCUAUCUUCUUCCUCCCCAUCCUCUUCUCCUCCCUUUCAUCCUCCAUCCUAUUUCUUGUCGACGGCCCCUCUCUCCUCCUCCC
This 260-nucleotide long non-coding RNA is filed under the name Elaeis guineensis (African oil palm). RNAcentral describes it as "long non-coding RNA (EGUI_LNC011855)". The record is from RNAcentral. Lineage: Eukaryota; Viridiplantae; Streptophyta; Magnoliopsida; Arecales; Arecaceae.